GUUGAAAAGAACUUUGAAGAGAGAGUUCAAGAGUACGUGAAACCGUUCUGGGGUAAACGGGUGGAGCCCUAAAGGUCGAACGGGGAGAUUCAUAUCCAGUCCGGUCUGUCGCACCGUGUCGUUGGGAUUUUGGGGUCGGGCCUUCGGGUCUGGCCUCGGGCCCGCGGCGCGGGUACGCGUUCAGGCGGGGGAGCGCAAUUCUCCCUUAGUAGGACGUCGCGACCCGUUGGGUGUCGGUCGAAGGCCCGGGAUGCGAGCCCGUUCCGCGGCAACGCGGGGCGGAGCCCUGGUGUCCCGGCCGACUGCCCGACGGUUUGAACGUGCGGAAUAGGCCCGCGAGUCACAUCGCGCUCGUGCCCCGUGCAAGCGUCCGGUCCAACUCGUCGUACGGACUUGUCCGUCGCGGGUGGCCCGGCGUUGUUGGCGCGGGGAUUUCUCGAGCAGUGGCCUGCUCCGGUUUGCGGCGCUUAAAACAGGGUGGCCCACCCGGCCCGUCUUGAAACACGGACCAAGGAGUCUAACAUGUGCGCGAGUCAUUGGGUACCACGAAACCCAAAGGCGUAUUGAACGAAAAGGCCGAUCUAAUCGGCUGAGGGAAGAUGGAGGCGCGCUCGCGUGCCUCCCGCAUUCCCGGGGCGUCUCGUCCUACUUCCGCUAGUCGGUCGAAGGUGAGGCGCACCAAGAGCGCACACGUUGGGACCCGAAAGAUGGUGAACUAUGCCUGGCCAGGACGAAGUCAGGGGAAACCCUGAUGGAGGUCCGUAGCGAUUCUGACGUGCAAAUCGAUCGUCGGAGCUGGGUAUAGGGGCGAAAGACUAAUCGAACCAUCUAGUAGCUGGUUCCCUCCGAAGUUUCCCUCAGGAUAGCUGGCGCUCGGAGGACCGAAUCCCAUGCGGUAAAGCGAAUGAUUGGAGGCCUUGGGGUCGAAACGACCUCAACCUACCCUCAAACUUUAAAUGUGUGGGAACCGCGGCUUGUUU
This 980-nucleotide ribosomal RNA is filed under the name Isonychia valida. Its description in RNAcentral is "partial 28S large subunit ribosomal RNA". It matches the Rfam family "Eukaryotic large subunit ribosomal RNA", at positions 363 to 1092 of the family's 3401-position model. Lineage: Eukaryota; Metazoa; Arthropoda; Insecta; Ephemeroptera; Isonychiidae. The record is from RNAcentral.